Molecule: ribosomal RNA, 385 nt
Filed under: Emoia caeruleocauda
Lineage: Eukaryota; Metazoa; Chordata; Lepidosauria; Squamata; Scincidae
Description: partial 12S rRNA
Rfam family: Bacterial small subunit ribosomal RNA
Source: RNAcentral
GCUUAGCCGUAAACAAAAACAGUGAAAAUACAACACUGUUCGCCAGAGAACUACAAGAAAAAACUCGAAACUCCAAGGACUUGGCGGUGCUCCACAUCACCCUAGAGGAGCCUGUCCUAUAAUCGAUACCCCACGAUCAACCUCACCAUUUUUUGAAGCUCAGCCUAUAUACCGCCGUCGCCAGCCUACCUUAUGAAAGACACAAAGUAGGCAAAACAGUCACCAACUAAAACGUCAGGUCAAGGUGUAGCAUAUAAAAUGGAAGAGAUGGGCUACACUCUCUAAUGCAGAGAAAACGAACAGCACAAUGAAAUAGGUGCUUAAAGGUGGAUUUAGUAGUAAGAUCGGACAAGAGAGUCCAUCUUAAAUUAGCCCUGGAGCGCGC